UGGGGAAUCUUCCGCAAUGGACGAAAGUCUGACGGAGCAACGCCGCGUGAGUGAUGAAGGAUUUCGGUCUGUAAAGCUCUGUUGUUUAUGACGAACGUGCAGUGUGUGAACAAUGCAUUGCAAUGACGGUAGUAAACGAGGAAGCCACGGCUAACUACGUGCCAGCAGCCGCGGUAAUACGUAGGUGGCGAGCGUUGUCCGGAAUUAUUGGGCGUAAAGAGCAUGUAGGCGGCUUAAUAAGUCGAGCGUGAAAAUGCGGGGCUCAACCCCGUAUGGCGCUGGAAACUGUUAGGCUUGAGUGCAGGAGAGGAAAGGGGAAUUCCCAGUGUAGCGGUGAAAUGCGUAGAUAUGGGGAGGAACACCAGUGGCGAAGGCGCCUUUCUGGACUGUGUCUGACGCUGAGAUGCGAAAGCCAGGGUAGCGAACGGG
RNAcentral lists this ribosomal RNA (429 nucleotides) under Acidobacteriota bacterium. Its description in RNAcentral is "Acidobacteria bacterium partial 16S ribosomal RNA". It matches the Rfam family "Bacterial small subunit ribosomal RNA", at positions 355 to 776 of the family's 1533-position model. The record is from RNAcentral. Lineage: Bacteria; Pseudomonadati; Acidobacteriota.